AAAACAUCAAGCCAAGCCUGAAUAUCAGCACCCCAAUUCUCAGGUACCAAAUUAAAGUCAGAAAAUCUUGGUUUCCCCUUAAGGGUAACACUCUUAAUCUUGGGAAAUCUUCUUGCUACAAUCUCAGGAGUAACUGAAUAGCAAUUUCCAAUAAACAGCUUAGUUCUUGUCCAACGCUCUGCAUUAUACCAAUCUUUGCACACCAAUGAAGCUGAAUUUCUGUCUUUAUGAGACUGAACAAGAGACAACACCUUCUCCAACACCUCAUCUGGGAAUGCUGACUGAGAUAACUCCGACAUUUUCGAUAAAUCUACAGAUUCCCUCGGUUUUUUCAAGCUCGGAUUCAUUUCCAUCUCAAGAAAAACUCAGUCUUG
This 374-nucleotide unclassified non-coding RNA is filed under the name Hevea brasiliensis (rubber tree). The record is from RNAcentral. Lineage: Eukaryota; Viridiplantae; Streptophyta; Magnoliopsida; Malpighiales; Euphorbiaceae.